This 465-nucleotide ribosomal RNA is filed under the name uncultured Klebsiella sp. RNAcentral describes it as "bacterial SSU rRNA". It matches the Rfam family "Bacterial small subunit ribosomal RNA", at positions 338 to 795 of the family's 1533-position model. The record is from RNAcentral. Lineage: Bacteria; Pseudomonadati; Pseudomonadota; Gammaproteobacteria; Enterobacterales; Enterobacteriaceae.
CCUACGGGCGGCAGCAGUGGGGAAUAUUGCACAAUGGGCGCAAGCCUGAUGCAGCCAUGCCGCGUGUGUGAAGAAGGCCUUCGGGCUGUAAAGCACUUUCAGCGGGGAGGAAGGCGGUGAGGUUAAUAACCUCAUCGAUUGACGUUACCCGCAGAAGAAGCACCGGCUAACUCCGUGCCAGCAGCCGCGGUAAUACGGAGGGUGCAAGCGUUAAUCGGAAUUACUGGGCGUAAAGCGCACGCAGGCGGUCUGUCAAGUCGGAUGUGAAAUCCCCGGGCUCAACCUGGGAACUGCAUUCGAAACUGGCAGGCUAGAGUCUUGUAGAGGGGGGUAGAAUUCCAGGUGUAGCGGUGAAAUGCGUAGAGAUCUGGAGGAAUACCGGUGGCGAAGGCGGCCCCCUGGACAAAGACUGACGCUCAGGUGCGAAAGCGUGGGGAGCAAACAGGAUUAGAUACCCUAGUAGUC